CCGUAGCUCAAUUGGAUAGAGCAACAGAUUUCUAAUUUGUAGGUCAUAGGUUCGAGCCCUAUCGG
This 65-nucleotide transfer RNA is filed under the name fish gut metagenome. It matches the Rfam family "tRNA", at positions 5 to 66 of the family's 71-position model. Rfam says of the family: Transfer RNA (tRNA) molecules are approximately 80 nucleotides in length. The record is from RNAcentral.